GAUAAACGCUGGCGGCGUGCUUUAUGCAUGCAAGUCGAACGGUCUGCUGUUCCAAGCUUGCUUGGGAUGCCAGAUAGUGGCGAACGGGUGAGUAACGCGUAAGUAACCUGCCCCUAAGUAAGGAAUAACUCUGAGAAAUUAGAGCUAAUACUAUAGUGGCGGUGGAGGUAAUGCUUCACCACUAAAGCCUUCGGGCGCUUAGGGAGGGGCUUGCGUCCGAUUAGCUAGUUGGUAGGGUAAUGGCUUACCAAGGCGAUGAUCGGUAGCUGGUUUGAGAGGACAUUCAGCCACACUGGGAUUGAGAUACGGCCCAGACUCCUACGGGAGGCAGCAGCAAGGAAUUUUGUGCAAUGGGCGAAAGCCUGACACAGCGACGCCGCGUGGGGGAUGAAGGCCUUCGGGUUGUAAACCCCUUUUCUCAGGGAAGAAUAAUGACGGUACCUGAGGAAUAAGUCUUGGCUAACUACGUGCCAGCAGCCGCGGUAAUACGUAGGAGGCGAGCGUUAUCCGGAUUUACUGGGCGUAAAGAGGGCGUAGGCGGUUUUUCAAGUCGAUUGUAAAAUCUCCCGGCUUAACUGGGAGGGGACAUUCGAUACUGUUGGACUAGAGAGCAGCAGGAGGAGGUGGAAUUCCCGGUGGAGUGGUGAAAUGUGUAGAUAUCGGGAGGAACACCAGUGGCGAAAGCGGCCUCCUAGGUUGUUUCUGACGCUGAGGUCCGAAAGCGUGGGUAGCGAACAGGAUCAGAUACCCUGGUAGUCCACGCCGUAAACGAUGGACACCAGGUAUAGGGAGUAUCGACCCUCUCUGUGCCGAAGCUAACGCAUUAAGUGUCCCGCCUGGGGAGACGGCCGCAAGGCU
Molecule: ribosomal RNA, 858 nt
Filed under: uncultured Chloroflexota bacterium
Lineage: Bacteria; Bacillati; Chloroflexota
Description: bacterial SSU rRNA
Rfam family: Bacterial small subunit ribosomal RNA
Source: RNAcentral